CUAAGACUGGAUAGGAGACAAGAAGGCAUCUUCUUGUUUUUAAAAGACCUAGCAAUAGGUAUGCUUAGGGAGGAGCUUGCGUCACAUUAGUUAGUUGGUGGGGUAAAGGCCUACCAAGACUAUGAUGUGUAGCCGGGCUGAGAGGUUGAACGGCCACAUUGGGACUGAGACACGGCCCAAACUCCUACGGGAGGCAGCAGUAGGGAAUUUUCGGCAAUGGAGGAAACUCUGACCGAGCAACGCCGCGUGAACGAUGAAGUAUUUCGGUACGUAAAGUUCUUUUAUUAGGGAAGAAUAAAUGAUGGAAAAAUCAUUCUGACGGUACCUAAUGAAUAAGCCCCGGCUAACUAUGUGCCAGCAGCCGCGGUAAUACAUAGGGGGCAAGCGUUAUCCGGAAUUAUUGGGCGUAAAGGGUGCGUAGGCGGUUAAAUAAGUUUAUGGUCUAAGUGCAAUGCUCAACAUUGUGAUGCUAUAAAAACUGCUUAGCUAGAGUAAGAUAGAGGCAAGUGGAAUUCCAUGUGUAGUGGUAAAAUGCGUAAAUAUAUGGAGGAACACCAGUAGCGAAGGCGGCUUGCUGGGUCUUUACUGACGCUGAGGCACGAAAGCGUGGGGAGCAAACAGGAUUAGAUACCCUGGUAGUCCACGCCGUAAACGAUGAGUACUAAACGUUGGGUAAAACCAGUGUUGAAGUUAACACAUUAAGUACUCCGCCUGAGUAGUACGUACGCAAGUAUGAAACUUAAAGGAAUUGACGGGACUCCGCACAAGCGGUGGAUCAUGUUGUUUAAUUCGAAGGUACCCGAAAAACCUCACCAGGUCUUGACAUGCUUCUGCAAAGCUGUAGAAACACAGUGGAGGUUAUCAGUUGCACAGGUGGUGCAUGGUUGUCGUCAGCUCGUGUCGUGAGAUGUUGGGUUAAGUCCCGCAACGAGCGCAACCCUUAUUGUUAGUUACCAGCACGUAAUGGUGGGGACUUUAGCAAGACUGCCAGUGAUAAAUUGGAGGAAGGUGGGGACGACGUCAAAUCAUCAUGCCCCUUAUGACCUGGGCUACAAACGUGAUACAAUGGCUGUUACAAAGGGUAGCUGAAGCGCAAGUUUUUGGCGAAUCUCAAAAAAACAGUCUCAGUUCGGAUUGAAGUCUGCAACUCGACUUCAUGAAGUUGGAAUCGCUAGUAAUCGCGAAUCAGCAUGUCGCGGUGAAUACGUUCUCGGGGUUUGUACACACCGCCCGUCA
This 1236-nucleotide ribosomal RNA is filed under the name Aster yellows phytoplasma. Its description in RNAcentral is "bacterial SSU rRNA". It matches the Rfam family "Bacterial small subunit ribosomal RNA", at positions 163 to 1399 of the family's 1533-position model. Lineage: Bacteria; Bacillati; Mycoplasmatota; Mollicutes; Acholeplasmatales; Acholeplasmataceae. The record is from RNAcentral.